GGAAAAAGAAGUGAAUCUGCGGAGAUUUCUUUUAACUGGAGUAUUGCCCAAGGUGGAUGUUUUGCUGCUGCCCAUGAAAAAUAAGUGUGAUUUUCACCCUCCAGCUGCAAAUAGGAACAAGUAUCAUUUGUAAGGGAGUUGUGGAUCUUUCAUAAUGCAAUGUUGUUUCAGGUGGAUUGACCUAAGCCUGAGAACAUUAAGCUUCCCAUCCUUUCCAGAAGCAAAGGUGUAUUCCAACAGUUCAGACCACUUCAGCUAUUCUUGCAUGAAGAAUGUGCUGAAGAUUAUUUCAUCCUGAAUUUUGUUGUGAUCUAGAAACAUGGAGAAAGAACUACAAGAACAACCACGUUUCUUUUCAGUGAUGUCCUUGUGUAACAUGGAGCUUUUAUUUUAACUUGAAAAUUCAUUCAGGCAUGAUUUAGGGUUAUUGAAGUAGUAAGAUCUGCUAGAAGACAAUGGAAGCAAAAAGAAGAAAUUAGAGCAGAAGAAAAUGAGGAACAGAGAAUGUGGAAAAAUUCCAGGAAUGAGAAAGAGACAGAAAACACAGAAGAAAGGCGGUAUAGACAGAAAAGAAAACUGUCUUUAACUAUUAUUGAGCAGGUAAUCUCUUUCAAAUUCUGGAAGAAAUAGAACCAAAGUUGAUGAGAGGCUUUUCCUUCAAUUAUUUAAGCUGCUUGUUUUUAAAACGCUAAAUGUAUUAGUGUAUGAGAAAACUUUAAAUGAAAAAAAACAUUAAGGAAGACAUGUACAUUGUACUUUAUUUCCUCUUUUUUCCUGUGUAAAAUAAAACAGUUAACGUUAAGAAUAUGAAAAACCUUAUUAAAACAGA
Molecule: long non-coding RNA, 829 nt
Filed under: Gallus gallus (chicken)
Lineage: Eukaryota; Metazoa; Chordata; Aves; Galliformes; Phasianidae
Source: RNAcentral